RNAcentral lists this long non-coding RNA (247 nucleotides) under Trifolium pratense (red clover). RNAcentral's name for it is "long non-coding RNA (TPRA_LNC008179)". Lineage: Eukaryota; Viridiplantae; Streptophyta; Magnoliopsida; Fabales; Fabaceae. The record is from RNAcentral.
AUUGCGUGUACAGACAUAUUUAAGGGAAGUUUGUAAUGAUUUCCCUAAAUUAGCGUGCAUUGAAUGAUGGGAGAGAAAACGGUUUCCUUUUGCACGCCUCAACUGCUGUAACUGCUAUGCUUCUUCAUGCAGGCAAAUUCCCAAUUUGCCCCUUAAAACUUCAAAUUGAUUAGCAUCAAGCGCCUUUGUAAAAAUGUCAGCUAGCUGUUCACUUGUACCAAUGUGCUUGAGUUCCACACAAUUUUCU